UACGUAGGUGGCAAGCGUUGUCCGGAAUUAUUGGGCGUAAAGCGCGUGCAGGUGGUUUCUUAAGUCUGAUGUGAAAGCCCACGGCUCAACCGUGGAGGGUCAUUGGAAACUGGGGAACUUGAGUGCAGGAGAGAAGAGUGGAAUUCCACGUGUAGCGGUGAAAUGCGUAGAGAUGUGGAGGAACACCAGUGGCGAAGGCGACUCUUUGGCCUGUAACUGACGCUGAGGCGCGAAAGCGUGGGGAGCAAACAGG
Molecule: ribosomal RNA, 253 nt
Filed under: uncultured bacterium
Lineage: Bacteria
Description: partial 16S ribosomal RNA
Rfam family: Bacterial small subunit ribosomal RNA
Source: RNAcentral